AUGACCUUCUAUGAGAAGAAAGAAAAUCACUCAUUCCUAGCUGUGUAUGUGUGUAUCGACAAACAAGUUGGUUAUUGUCAAGGUGGCUUGCUGCCUCCUAUUUGCAUAGAAUACUUCUUUAUUACCUCAACUAGGUCAUUGCUGUUGAUGUACCUUACCUCAACUAGCUCACCCCAUGAUUUCUCCAAGCUUGGGUCUUGUUUUGUUUUUCUAUUUGGCCUCAAGAUUAUCUUCUUAUUUCUUUUGUCCUUGUGGAGCAGGAUUUUAUUCGUUACAAUAAGGGGUUCGUCGUGCCAGGCUCCGCGGCGCUGUUGCUUCCAUGUGAUGGUGUUGUUUGGCAUCGGCUACAAAAACAGCCACGAGGACCGGGAGCUUGCAGCAACAGCAUCUCCGACCCCUUCCUGA
Molecule: ribosomal RNA, 405 nt
Filed under: Triticum aestivum (bread wheat)
Lineage: Eukaryota; Viridiplantae; Streptophyta; Magnoliopsida; Poales; Poaceae
Description: partial small subunit ribosomal RNA
Source: RNAcentral